AGACAGGGUGGCGGCAGCGGAUCUUUCCGGUGUGCAAAAUAUUGAAGUUACUUGGAGCUCGCCUUUGGCGUCGGGAACGGGCCAUGGGGCAGCCAGCGCCCCUUGCUCUUUGGGGCAUAGAAUCGGGACAAAGGUGUGGGGGGAGCGGGGAGCGAGUCAACCUUUAUUCAGUCCGAGAAGCUUCGGGGUGCGGUAGACACACAAGACGGGGAGAGGGACGAGAAGAAAGCAAACGGGGAGUGAGAGGUUUUCAAGCCACGGCGUUAUUGGGCUCUGUGGGCCAGCAUUGGGCAGGAGAGAAAAUGGCGACCAGCAGGACCCCGUAGCCCCAGGGUUCCCUCCCUGUUUGGAUUUGAGACCGGUGGGAGCGGGGGCUUCCAGCCAACCUGCUUUUAGCACAAGCUUAGGUUCCCAGAGCAACUGCGCCCAGGCGCUUGCAAAAGUCUCAACGCCUCCAUGCGCGUGCUCGCGCUCCCCCCUCCUAUGACAUCACGGCUCAUUACCCGGGAAACGCCAAUGACAUCAGCAGACAAAAAGGAAUGCGGGUCUUGGGAGUUGCUAAGCCCGUCGCGCGAGUAAAGCUUAAGGCAAUCUCGAGGGGGAAAGAUUGUGUGGCGUGUGCACAAUACAAGCGGCUUCCAAGUCCAAAAUAGGUUUGCACUGUCUGCAGUAGACAUUCAAAUGGCCAGAACGCAGAGGCGUAACUAUAGGAGGGGCAGGGGGGCACGUGCCCCGGGCACCAUCUUUUCUGGUCACGUGGGGGGAGCCACCAUGACAAAAAAAAAUUUUUUUUAAAUUUUUUAAAUUUUUUUUGUUAAUACAAAUGUUUCCUGCUCCGUGCAGCAGCGCUGCAGCAGUCAAGGGAGCGCAUCGGCGCCCCCUCCCUCACGAGCGGUCCCUUCCGCGCCGCCCGUGCCCCCCCCAUUGCUUUGCUGGCACCUGGCGGCCAGUCAGUGGCCUGGCUUGGUGACGGCGGGCGCUUGUGAGGAAAAACCUAAUGUAGUAUGUUGGGGGGGGCGCGGGGGGGCGCCAUUUCAGUGCUUGCCCCGGGCGCCGUUUUCCCUAGUUACGCCUCUGCCAGAACGGAGCCCAUCAUCGGCAUGCUUGCUCCCCCGCCUCCCCCAAGUGAUUCUGCUGCAAGUGGCUGAUGGCUCAGUCUGCGGGACUCAGGGGCGCAGCGCGCCUGCUGCUCCUCCUGGGGCUCCUUCUCCCUCCCUCCCUCCCUCGUCAGCAUGGAAGGUAUGGAGCAGAGUCACGACCACCAGGCCCAGCCAGCCGGAUGGGUGUGAGCUGAAGCAGAAAGCCGGAGCGUAACCCAUGGAGCAGCCGAGGCAGGGGAGGAGGAGCCGGAGUCGCCUUUCAGCGCCUUUUAUGCCGGAGCACGUGCUGUGGUGGUAGAGUGAAAGGCAGAGCAAUGUGCUUCCAUCCACACAGCGCUACAGGAGGGUUUCCAGGCAGUCUCGGCCUCCCGUCCCUGUCCCUCCUUGCUGAAGAUAUAACCCAGCACGACUUCUGUCAUAAUGAAACUACAGGUACAUACCCCUACUCAAAAUUGCAGGACGUCUUCCCAUUAUCGACUGCACCAAGCGUAUAUGUUGGAAUGGUCCGAGUGCAGUAGAAAAACACACUGAUUUUGUGACAUUCGUGUAAGGGAUGGGUUCUUUUACCAUAGUAUACAUUAUAUUUAAAUACAGCAUAUUGGCAAAACAAUCUAGAAACCCUCCAACUGAUUGUAAAAGUACCCUCCCAUAAGAAAACCCCCGAUUCCCGUUCUGCCACGCCCAGCCACUUCCUUCCUGCCUGCCUGCCUGCCUGCCUCUCAGCCUUGUAUGCAGGCAGCUGAAAGAAGUUUGAUGAUGCUAUUUCUUGGGCAUCCUUGUUCCUGUCCUUUUGGAAAGGCGUCCCAAGGGGUGGAGUGUGCAUGGAUUCAGCACUGCAACACCUUCAGAGGGGAUGCACGCUCCGGGGAGAGAUGCAGACCAACCACUCUGCCGAGAAAUGCUAAGGAAUCCUCCCCAUUGUCUCCUUCCUUGGGACCUUGAAACCAGGAGAGAAUUUCACGGAUCUCUUAGCAAAUCCACCGGUUAGGACACGUGAGAGCUGCAAGGAGAGGCGUCCCAAGGGGUGGAGUGUGCAUGGAUUCAGCACUGCAACACCUUCAGAGGGGAUGCACGCUCCGGGGAGAGAUGCAGACCAACCACUCUGCCGAGAAAUGCUAAGGAAUCCUCCCCAUUGUCUCCUUCCUUGGGACCUUGAAACCAGGAGAGAAUUUCACGGAUCUCUUAGCAAAUCCACCGGUUAGGACACGUGAGAGCUGCAAGGAGAGGCGUCCCAAGGGGUGGAGUGUGCAUGGAUUCAGCACUGCAACACCUUCAGAGGGGAUGCACGCUCCGGGGAGAGAUGCAGACCAACCACUCUGCCGAGAAAUGCUAAGGAAUCCUCCCCAUUGUCUCCUUCCUUGGGACCUUGAAACCAGGAGAGAAUUUCACGGAUCUCUUAGCAAAUCCACCGGUUAGGACACGUGAGAGCUGCAAGGAGAGGGAAGUCUCACAGCCUCAUUCUCCCUUCAGCACUGUGGAGAACAAGGAAGGAUCAACUGCUGACCGUGCAAGGUGCCAAUUAGCUCCGGAUAUCAGGGUUUUCAGUGUUCCCUAAGGAGGCAGUGGGGCAGGGAAUACCAACCUUGAAGAUGUCAACCUGUGGCUUGAUAUAUUGUUCUGUAGCUAAGAUUUUUGUAAAGCACUGUGGGAGGUUCACCUGGAAGCAGUGAAUAAAUGCAAAAACAUAAAAUAAAAUAGAAUGAAAUAAAAUAAAACCAGUUUGGUGACAAGGCACUUUAAGGAAUGCUGCCCCCUCCCCCCAUAUGAGGCUCCUUGCCCAUGACGCUCCUCAGAGGAGACCCUUUGACAUGCUCCUUUGACAUGCCCCUUUGACAUGCUCCUUUGACAUGCUCCUUUGACCCUUUGACAUGCUCCUUUGCUUUCUGAGAUUCGCGUGAGAGGGCCACGUGAGACAGCACCACUUUUUCUGCGACAGCACCCACCGUAUGGAACUCCCUGCCACAGGAUGCAAGCUUAGUUCACUCUGAGCAUUCGGUUUGGGAAAUGGUGUCUGUUUCCACAGCUCUUGCUGGGGGUAAUGAGAAGUGUGGGCUCCUUCCACCAGGCUCCAAACCUCUCCCUCUCCCCAUCUUCCUCUCCACACACCCCACCUCCGCACCAAUCUUUCUCAACGUCAUCUGCUACGGCCACCAUCUAUCCACUCAGGGACAGAAGCUCAAAAUCAUUUGAGAAAACCCAGUAGCUUGGUGAAGUCAGUGUGAGGAUGGAACAAGCAGACAGAGACAAAAAUGAGUGGGACCAAAAAGAAAGCACCUGAUUGACAUCCAGUAAGUAGAAUAAAUGGGUGAUGUAGAUGUAUUUCAUUUGCUAUUGAUGGUUUCAUGAGCAGAUACAGACAAUGUGCAUCUGGUAGCC
Molecule: long non-coding RNA, 3476 nt
Organism: Hemicordylus capensis (graceful crag lizard)
Lineage: Eukaryota; Metazoa; Chordata; Lepidosauria; Squamata; Cordylidae
Exons: 5
Source: RefSeq, a predicted model, not a curated record